RNAcentral lists this long non-coding RNA (427 nucleotides) under Daphnia pulex (common water flea). RNAcentral describes it as "uncharacterized LOC124206971, transcript variant X2". Lineage: Eukaryota; Metazoa; Arthropoda; Branchiopoda; Diplostraca; Daphniidae. The record is from RNAcentral.
CUCUCAUUCCAUCCUCUAGAGAACCUUGGAUAACUGAUUGAUCAUGGAUAUCAAGAACAUUGAUGGCACCAAUUAUAAACAAGACUUUAUGAGAACUCGUAUGUCAUUUCAAGAAAAAGGACAGGAUUAUGCAGUCAAUACGAUUCAUUGUUUGCUAACCGUUGGCUGCCACCAUUGAAUCUCCAUUUUUACUUCCUUAAACGGGCCCUCUUGAUUUGAGGGUAAUCCUUCGCUACUUAUCGUGGACUUCAUCCAUUGCUGAACACCGACGAGAGCAUGCAGUCAUUCAAGACUGAUGAAUUGUGUAGUUAGCAAAAUUACAAGUGCAUAUGUGGGCUCCCUUCUUUUCUGUGGCCCUGUUUCCCUAACUAACCACUAACCAACGCCCGCCGGUGGUCACUCACCCGCUGUGAAACCAGGAGGAGGG